GGAUUAGAUACCCUGGUAGUCCACGCCGUAAACGAUGUCUACUUGGAGGUUGUGGCCUUGAGCCGUGGCUUUCGGAGCUAACGCGUUAAGUAGACCGCCUGGGGAGUACGGUCGCAAGAUUAAAACUCAAAUGAAUUGACGGGGGCCCGCACAAGCGGUGGAGCAUGUGGUUUAAUUCGAUGCAACGCGAAGAACCUUACCUACUCUUGACAUCCAGAGAAGCUUGAAGAGAUUCGAGUGUGCCUUCGGGAACUCUGAGACAGGUGCUGCAUGGCUGUCGUCAGCUCGUGCCG
Molecule: ribosomal RNA, 293 nt
Filed under: uncultured bacterium
Lineage: Bacteria
Description: partial 16S ribosomal RNA
Rfam family: Bacterial small subunit ribosomal RNA
Source: RNAcentral